GUGUCAGCAGCCGCGGUAAUACAGAGGUCCCAAGCGUUGUUCGGAUUCACUGGGCGUAAAGGGUGCGUAGGUGGUGAGGUAAGUCGGAUGUGAAAGCUCGGAGCUCAACUCCGAAAUGGCAUUGGAAACUACCUUGCUCGAGGGAUGGAGGGGGGACUGGAAUUCUCGGUGUAGCAGUGAAAUGCGUAGAUAUCGAGAGGAACACCAGUGGCGAAGGCGAGUCCCUGGACAUCUCCUGACACUGAGGCACGAAAGCUAGGGGAGCAAACAGGAUUAGAAACCCCUGUAGUCC
Molecule: ribosomal RNA, 292 nt
Filed under: uncultured bacterium
Lineage: Bacteria
Description: partial 16S ribosomal RNA
Rfam family: Bacterial small subunit ribosomal RNA
Source: RNAcentral